Molecule: long non-coding RNA, 4056 nt
Filed under: Homo sapiens (human)
Lineage: Eukaryota; Metazoa; Chordata; Mammalia; Primates; Hominidae
Description: HSALNT0078439
Rfam family: Y RNA (bases 2609-2727)
Source: RNAcentral
AGAGAUGGGGUUUCUCCAUGUUGGUCAGGCUGGUCUUGAACCCCUAACCUCAGGUGAUCCACCUGCCUCAGCCUCCCAAAGUGCUGGGAUUACAGGUGUGAGCCACUGCGCCCAGCCGAGCUAUGUCUCUUAAAAUCAUAAAGUAGGCCAGGUGCAAUGGCUCAUGCCUAUAAUCCCAGCACUUUGGGAGGUUGAGGCAGGAGGAUUGCUUGAGCCCAGGAGCUUAAGACCAGUCUGGGCAACAUGGAGAGACCCGUUUCUAAUAAAAAAGAAAUAAACAAUGAAAAAUAAAAUUAUAAAGUAAAUUAAUCCCUAGCCUCCCUAAUGCAGAGAUCACUCACAAUAGUAUCCCAGUGUGAAGAGUGUAUAUUGAAAAUUAAUUAGUGAUGAAGGUAAUAGAACUGUGAUUGCACCUUUGAAAUCACCUUUGUAAAAAUUAUAACAGUGAAAAAGGGAUGACAAUGAAAGAGAUCUAACCAACUCCAUCUUUCCUUUAACAGCUCCAGACUGCCCUUGUUCAUUCCUGAGCAUAGACUGAGCUAACUGCAGGAGGAGUUUAGUUUAUAGUUUAACUUUGAAACAAAGAUGAUAACAACCCUUUCCCAUACCAAGCCCCCAUCUUGUCUGGGGACCAGAACACCUUUGUAAGACUAACAAAUUAGCCACAAGAUUAGAAAUUAUGGUUUAGGAGUCAUGCAGCCAGAAGCUACAAGAUUCCUAACCUCUCCAGUUGCUCCUAGGGAUUGCCUAACUAUUGAAAGAACUAAGAUUAGUGUUUGAGAUAUUUUUCAAAGUCUGCAUCAUUUAAUGCACCAGCUGGUGCCACCCAGACCAGUAAUCUGACUCAGCCAGUUCAGUGAUCCCACCCAGGAAUGGAAGACAGCAAGAACCCGCUUUGACCCCCUAUGAUUUCAUCCCCAACCCAACCAAUCAGCACUUCCCACUCCCUAACCCCCUACCCACCAAAUUAUUCUUUAAAAACUCAGUCUCCAAAUUUUGCAGGAGACUGAUCUGAGUAAUAAAACUCUGGUCUCCUGUUUAGUGGGUUCUGCAUACAUGAAACUCUUUCUCUAUUAAAACUUCCCUGUCUUCAUAAAUUGGCUCAGCCAGGCACAGUGGCUCAUGCCUGUAAUCCCAGCACUUUGGGAGGCCAAGGUGGGCAGAUUAUGAGGUCACGAGUUCGAGACCAGCCUGGCCAACAUGGUAAAACCCAGUCUCUACUAAAAAAAAAAAUUAGCUGGGCAUGGUGACAGGCACCUGUAAUCCCAGCUACUUGGGAGGCUGAGGCAGGAGAAUUGUUUGAACCUGGGAGGCAGAGAUUGCAGUGAGCCAAGAUCAUGGCAUUGCACUCCAGCCUGGGUGACAGGGCAAGACUCCGUUUCAAAAUAAAUAAAUAGGCUCUAUCUGGGCAGCAGGCAAGGAGAACCUAUUGGGCACUUACACUUUUAGGGGAAAAAAAGAAAAAAGGAGGAAGAUUUUUCACUUUACCCGUUGAAUUAUCAGGAUUCUUACUGGCAUGUGACAAAAAUUAGUUUGAGCCAGCUUAGUCAAAGAUGUAAAUUUAUUGGCUCACAUAACCUGACAAAGAUUAUUUAUUUGACCAAUCCUCAAACUCCUGGACCUUCUCCUAGGCUCAUCUGUGUACUUCCUUAUGAAAUCUAGUUUUAGCAAGAACUGUGCUAAGUCUGUUAAGCAAGAACCCCCCACCCUGGAUAUCUGAUACUUCUAUAUCAUAUUGGGUUCCUCAUCUUUCAGCAUCCUGCAAGGGAUGUCUGAUCACCCUGGUCUGUCUUCAGCAAGAAUCCUGUUAGGUCAGUUUAGCCAAAAUCCCCCUUGCCCUUGAUGUUUCCUCUUAGUGAUUUUCAACCCACUGACCCCCGCCCUUCUCCUUGGCUAUAAAUUUCUACUUGUCCUUGCUGUACUGGAAGUUGAAUUCAAUCUCUGUACCCUACUGAAAAAUCGCAUUGCAGUAGUCCCUACAUGUAGGGUGAUGGUUUGAAUAAAGUCUGCCUUUAACAAGAGUCAUUGAAUUUUUUUUACUUUAAAGAACCAAACAGCCUGGAUGCGGUGGCUCAUGCCUGUAAUCCCAACACUGGGAGGCCGAGGCGGGCAGAUCAUGAGGUCAGGAGAUUGAGACCAUCCUGGCUAACAUGGUGAAACCCCAUGUCUACUAAAAAUACAAAAAAUUAGCCAGGCGUGGUGGCACACGCCUGUAGUCCCAGCUACUUGGGAGGCUGAGGCACGAGAAUCACUUGAACUUGGGAGGUGGAGGUUGCAGUGAGCCGAGAUUGUGCCACUGCACUCCAGCCUAGGCGACAAAGCAAACUCCAUCUCAAAAAAAAAAAAAAAAAAGAAAAAAAAAAGAACAGAAAAAAGAACCAAAUUUGCAGUGAGCUGUUAUUAUGUCACUGUACUCCAGCCUGGGUGACAGAGUUGAGACCGUGUCUCUAAAAAGAAAAAAAACAAACCAAACCACGGGACAGGCAAGGACAACUGUAAUAAAACCUUUCAUUUUCAGGUUGCUCCCUCCGCAUUGUUCUCUGCUUCUCUUGAUAGCUUCAGUUUUUUUCUCUCAACCUAGCUUGCUACAUAAGAGAUGUUAAGCCUUGGCUGGUCCAAAGCUGGUGAGUUAUUAAUAUCUCAACUGAUUGUUCAGAGGCAGUUAUAGAUCGAACUUCUUGUUCUCCUCUCUCCCUCCUUCUCACUACUACACUUGACUAGUCUUGAAGUUUAAAAAGAGAUGUUACAGUCCUCAGACCCACAUCCUCACAUGGACCUUGUGGAUAGAGUGAGAGUGGAUCAAUUCUCAACAAAAACAGGAGUGCUGUUUCUAGAAGAAAAGAAAAAUGUAGAGAGGGAAAAAAAUGUUCAAUAAAGUUUGUUCCUUGGCUGCACACCGCCCUCCGCCAUCACCCACACUCAUAGACAUACGCUUUAUCCCAUACAUACAGUUUCAAAACUUCCUUGUCUAGCCACUAUGUGGCCACCCGUAUUCUUGUCCCAGCUCCAGAAUCUUUAUGUCAUGUCAAUUCAUGGUCAGGAUGGAUGAAUUUCCUUACUUCAUUACAACCUACAAAUAAACAAUAAAUCUGAAUAUUCUCAAUGCACCAACAUAUACAAUGGUGGAGAAAAAAAUAAGCAUUACUUCAAAAGGAAUGUCCAAAAGGGGAAAAUGGAAAACUACACUGAGAGCGUAGACCACUUCUUUCUGGAGAGGGAUAGCAUGUAUUUUGUAGACUCACUUAAACCAUUCAACCUUGGAGAGAGUUUUGUAGAGGAUACAAUGAAGGUUCUAAAUGUCUACAGAUAUCCUAGUUCAAUGGGAAGAAUCACAAAUUUAUAGAUAGGUUACAGUUGCUGCAGUUUACGUAUGGUGACUUUUUGAGCCCCAAACUUUUCAGAGACUGCUUGGACAUUACUGAAUCCAGUGGCAUUUAAAUUAAGUGGAGAUUAGAAAAGCAAAGGAAAAAAGUGAAGGAAAGAAGAAAGGAAGAAAAGAUGGGCCCAAAAAAAGGAAACAAUGACUUGUUAUCUUUUACAAUGAUGGGCAUCUUAACUUGACUUUUUUAACAACACAUUAUUUUAUUGUAUGCAAGAUUUUAGGCAGAUUGAAGUACAGGGCAAAUAAACUUCUAUUUUAUUUAUUUAUUUAUUUAUUUUUAAAAUUUCCUUUGUUCAAAUGGAGUCUCAGUCUGUUGCCCAGGCUGCUCUGGAACCCCUAGGCUCAAACAAUCCUCAGCCUUGCGAAGUGCUGGGAUUAUAAGCAUGAGCCACUGCAUCCGGCCUAAAGAAACUUCUAAAAGAAAAAUAGGAAAUCCUUCUUUUUAUCAAGGAAAUUCCUUCGUGUUCUUUCUUUAUUUUUAUGAAGUAACAAAUUUAAAAAAUUGUUGGUCAGUAUGAAUAUUGACCAAAAAAAAGCAAAUCCAUGAAAUAGCUAUUAUCAAAAGAGCAUCUUGAAAAAAAAGAGAUAUGUUAAGGUGGCAGCAGAGGCAAGCAGAUGAACAGUACAGUCAAUUAUUUCUUUCUAGAUUGACCCCUUUGGUUUUUAGAUGUAAG